UGCUACUACUACACAGUAAAAUCCACAGUGUUAAAUAUGCAGUGUCAAAGUCCAUUGACUCUUUCAGAGUUAUUUCAACACCAGCUUGAGUAAGAUGCCCCCUGGUGUUGGUGUUAAUUUACGGAGUUAAAACAGUGGUGUCAAAAGUACUCUGAGAAGCCACGCCUCUCUCCUCGCCUCAUUUCUAACGGCUCUAACGGAUUUUUCUCAGCGCGCUUUUCCUAACGUCGACCGACUGCGGUAAGUGUCUUUUAGUCACCUAUUAAAGACAGUAUUUUGGCAUUUCAACAGGGGCAAACAUUUAGAAUACCUUAAUAAUGUUGGCUCGCCUUAUUCCAGCUGUCUUUGCAUUUUAAAAUGACAAAUUACAAUGGAUUAACAUGACCGAGUUGGGAACUAGCUUAUAUGUGUGGUCAACGUUCAACAAAUUAAGACUAACAAGCUCAUGUUAGUUAACUCAAACUCAACAGCACGACGAGCUGUUAAUACAGUGUGGAGGGGUGAUUAUUUUGUAGUCUUUAUGAAACUACUAGCUACUCAAGUACUUAAGUUAGCUAGCUACUGAUAUUGUAUUCUUGCAGCCGCACGGUCGACUUUAAGAGGACAUUUGAAUCGGUUACAUUUAUAUUAUUAAUAUAUUUAUCUAUUUUAUGCAGUCAUCUGUUGAUUUAAGUUAGCUGAUCUCAGGUCUGCUGAAACUCGCAGCCACGCCUCCAUUUGACUCGUUCAGAACAACAUGACUCAAGCUAAAGCACGAGGGAAGCAUUGAAGCUAGCAGCUACUAUUACAGACUAGCUAACGGCGCACAGCAGUGUGCUGACGUCCUCCGCCAGAGACCCGCGCUGAGAGCGAGAGGAGCAGGACGUGUGUUACUGGGCUCGAUCACACCAGACGCGCCUCUCAAAAACGCGUCGCCCGCUAAACCAUUGAUUCCCUAUGGUACGGCGCGACUUUCAUAUUUUAAAUAUCUUGAACCCAAAAUUAACGGUUGGUUGCGCACGCAGGUCCGUUCCACAGGUGCACUGCGCUGUUUUGCCCGGCGUAUUUUUGCCUCGGCGUUUUUGGUGCGGCUGCGUCUUUUAGAGUCGCGUCUGGUGUGUUCGAGCCCUAAAACGGCUCCUGCUGCUUUCUGCUGUAACGUCAACAAGCUAACGGUGUGCGCGGGGUGUAACUACAGAGACUUUUAACUGACCAAUGUGCUGCUACUCUUUACAGGGGCCAUGCUACUGAAGGCGAAACUCGGGGGUGUCCAAACAUUUGGCCGAAUAACGGAACCAACUCUGAGGGAGUUUUUGGCUGCAGCAUUUGCAAAGUUUGGUGUCCCAGCCAUAACCGAAGGGGUGAAAGUUGUUGACGGUCGGGAACUGAGUUGGAUGACGAUGUGUUUGAGGACGUAGUGAAGGAUCCAUCAACUGGCGCGCUAACCAUCAAAUACGACACAGAAUCUGUCUCCGGUGCAACAUCCUGGGAGCAGUCCCAACCAUCAGCCCUGGAUUCAUCAGACUCGCAGGAUACAAUGAUUCUUUCUGAAAGUCCUUCUGGAAGACUACAGAGGCUAAGCAGUUGAUGGAAUCCAUUCUUACCAAGAAAUCUGGUGGGAACUGAUAAUAAAUUAAUACAACCGAACCAAGUCCUUGAUGGAUGAAAGCAGAAGUAAAAUGGUGAACAUUCUAGCAGCUGGCAUAACAGAGAAAAAUGGUACAUCACCACCCAGAGAGUUGAAGGAAAUGUAUGCUAAAGGUAUCGUGGCUUUAUUCCCCUACCUCAGUGACCCUUAUUCCAAGAAUGGCUAUGAGCAUUAUUAUGAUGGUCAGAGUGGGACUGGGUACCUCGCCUGGAGGAUUAAAACUAUUCAGAGGUGCACUGCUAAAGACAGACGAUCAGCAUUUGGAGAUGGUGUUUAAUCAGCCAAAGGACCAGAUGACAUGUCUGGAGGACCAACUGUCAGACGAGAGUCCGAGUUUCUUCUUGAGACUGUCCCGAGCGACGAUGAAUGUAAAGAAGCCAUCUCAUUGAUGAAACAUUCUGCUGAUGAGGACACACUCAAGAAAAAGAUGAAACUGACAUUUGUCUAUCGCCGCAACAUGAUCCUUGACCCCCAGCAGUCAAGGGACAUCCUGUCUGACUUUCCGCGUUUUAAAGAUGGCAAAGGCUUGGUUGAACAGGAUUUCGUUCUGAUGUUUGGAGAGGAUACAUCAGACAAGCUUCUGGAGAAGUGGCCAACCACAUUUAAGAAAAGAUCAUCAAACAAUGCUCCAUCAGGGAGCUUGAUGAACACCUUCUGGCAGCUGAUCCUUCUGAGGAUGGCACUGAAGUGGAUGUGGACUUUGAUAUACUGAUGUGUGUUAACAACAAAACUGUUACAGGUUGGGACGGGGACCUGUCUUCGCUUCUACUGUUGCUGCACCUGAUUCCACCUUCUGCUCGGGGUCGGGAGAAACCAGGAAAGGUGUCUACAUCCCAAGCAGAGAAGCAUCUUGUGGGAUUCAAGAAGGUUAUACAUUUUUCUAAUUUAUGACUAAUUUUAAAAUCCCACCACUGAUCAUUUACAUUUCUUACUAUAGUUCCCAAUACUGAUAAGCUUUAAAAACAUUACACUGACAUUAGCCAAAAAGCAUCAAAGUUGUAAGGGGAUGUAUUGGGAGUCUUUCAGCAAGGGAAGAUUAACUUUAGGUCCAGGAAAGAUGGUGACACUUCAUGAGCUAAAAGAGGGUUCAGAGAUUGCUUUCAAACUUGGAGCUGUAUCAUCUACCAGUGUGUUUUCUGCGAAGUGGAUAAAACAUUAUGGUACAGAGUACCGCCCCAACUUCAUUAUCUGUACUGUGUUUAGUAAGAUAAGGACUAUUGUUGUUAAAGAUGACUGUGUAUUGCUCUGUGUAAACUUGCUGGAAACCAUCUGUUUCGAUCAGCAUUACCAUGCCUUUAAGGUUAGGCUGCAUCCUUACAGGCUUGUCAAGGUAUUGCACAUAAAUGACCUGUUUUAUAAUAAACCAUUUGAUCUUCAAAUGCAGUACGGCAUGGCAGACUCCACCUUGUACAUUGUCCCUUAUUGCCAUUUUAUGCAGAUCGAAGGUCAAUGUUUUGUAUUGUUGCCCUGCACAAUAAAGAAAUGUGAAAUGCA
Molecule: long non-coding RNA, 3121 nt
Organism: Pseudoliparis swirei
Lineage: Eukaryota; Metazoa; Chordata; Actinopteri; Perciformes; Liparidae
Exons: 9
Source: RefSeq, a predicted model, not a curated record